This 128-nucleotide small nucleolar RNA is filed under the name Chinchilla lanigera (long-tailed chinchilla). RNAcentral's name for it is "Small nucleolar RNA SNORA11 (ENSCLAG00000019739.1)". It matches the Rfam family "Small nucleolar RNA SNORA11". From Rfam's summary of the family: U107 (SNORA11) is a member of the H/ACA class of snoRNAs that guide the sites of modification of uridines to pseudouridines. This snoRNA was identified by RT-PCR from blood cells and its expression confirmed by Northern blot analysis. There is no predicted target for this guide snRNA. The record is from Rfam by way of RNAcentral. Lineage: Eukaryota; Metazoa; Chordata; Mammalia; Rodentia; Chinchillidae.
GAGGUGUGCUCAGAGAAAGGGGUCUGGAGAAUGGCUCCUCUGUCUGUGACACACUGGAUAGGAGUCUGAGGUCACAGUGAGAAGGGGCACAAAAGGUAUGACCUUUUCAUGAGCCAAUCCCUACAUCU